AAUGAGUAAGUCGUAACAAAGUAAAUAUACUGGAAAGUGUAUUUAG
RNAcentral lists this ribosomal RNA (46 nucleotides) under Philotrypesis sp. JHX-2011. RNAcentral describes it as "partial small subunit ribosomal RNA". The record is from RNAcentral. Lineage: Eukaryota; Metazoa; Arthropoda; Insecta; Hymenoptera; Pteromalidae.